AGCAGCGUCAGUCCCCAUCCGCUUGAUAUCUCCGGCGGAGUCAAAGCUGUGCAGAAGUACUUCCCCUGCCCCCUGGUGUACCACGACGACAGUUAUAACCAAAGCAAAGUGACAGACUACUUCAGCAUAGAGAGCCGACAGCAAGUGCCCGCCGUCACUUGAUAAUACGGGUAGAGCGUUUGCGCGCCGCUUGCGACCCGAUCUUGGUACGAUCCUGAGAAAACUACAGGGGACUGUAACAAAAGCAAAAAAAAAAAAAAACUGUAGAUUGUACUGGGUGAAUCCACGUAAAAGUAACGUGAGUCACGACUUUUCUUUUUCAACCUAGCGUUUUCCCGGCCUAGCGCCAGGGUCCGCUUUCCUGCUCAGUCUUCUCCACUUUGCCCGUUCGACAUCCUUAGGUGUGAGAUUGACCUUAGGUGUGAGAUUGACUCCUGAGGUGUGAUUGAUUGAUUCUCUUGCAUAUCCGCAACCACGACGUCCAGCCAGCGCUUCUGAGGCCUACCGGGGCCACGUGACUUUUAUUAUUAUUUAUUUGAACUACAAAUGAAAGGAUCCAUGCAUAUUUCGGGAAGUAACACUUAUUUAGAGAUAGAUUACCACUUGAACUUACAUCGUGAAUAAAUUGAACAUGCCAUAAAAUCGUGACUCAUGUUACUCUAGUCGCAGAUUGUCCCUACUCCCUAAACUGACCAACAUUUGGUUAGCGACUUAAAAAUUAUGAAUUCUGUAAUUUUUCAUACAAAAUAAAUAUUCGCUUCAAUGUACGCCAUUAUUGUUGUGAGACUUAGUUCGCAUUAUAUUACCUCUUAGGAAAAACUGUCAUGGGUGCUAAAAAUCAAAAUAAAAGUUAUUUUUAAAAGCCGCUGAACAAAAAUUGGUCAUUAUAAGGAGUAUAGCCUACAGUUAAAUUUUUUGCUUUUGUUACAGGCCCUAUCCAGUGUAACGCUUUUAUUUUAUACUAAAACCCCUUUUGGCAGACUAAGGCCUUUGCUUAAGCAGUGUUCGUUUCAUUGUCUAAAGUAGAUGUAACGUUGUUUCCUUUAAAUUGGAUAUUGUGUGUGUGACGUCAUAUUAUUGCGUCUCAACAAAUCAUCCUGUUUGAACAUAAGGCCAUUUGUGAAAAAAAAGCUAGGUUUAUUAUUUAUUUCAUAGGAAUCACAUAGUUUUCUGUCAUACCAUUUAAAGAUACCGGAAACGGUCUUAACAGUGCGCAAACGCUCCUAUUUCGACUAGACAUUCGAUACAGUAUUGUUAGUAUUUUGUAAGUGCCAUGAGACUGUGAUUUUUGAUAUUGUUAGUUUUAAAUCUUUUUUAUAAAGGGUUGUGUUCAGUUAGUAAUAAAAAUUGUUAAAAUCUA
Leguminivora glycinivorella is the source of this 1360-nucleotide long non-coding RNA. RefSeq lists it as uncharacterized. NCBI's taxonomy places the organism in Eukaryota, Metazoa, Arthropoda, Insecta, Lepidoptera, Tortricidae. The transcript has 2 exons. The record is from RefSeq and is a predicted model, not a curated record.